Molecule: long non-coding RNA, 1095 nt
Filed under: Anas platyrhynchos platyrhynchos (common mallard)
Lineage: Eukaryota; Metazoa; Chordata; Aves; Anseriformes; Anatidae
Description: lncRNA (ENSAPLG00000018148.1)
Source: RNAcentral
UUGUUAGAUAAUGUUCUUUUCUCCUUUUCUGCUGGGUUCUGAAUGGUGGGAAGGAAAGGAUACCUGAAGUCACACUUCUUUUUUCAAUGCCAUUUCUGUUCCCAAAGUGAUCUUGCAGAUAUCUUUUGUAGAUUCCUCCACAAAUAAAGUAGACUUAAAAAGCUGGAAAAGUGCAAUUCUUGAUGUUUGCACAUUUAUGUAGAACUGCUGGAUAUAGCUUCUUCGUUGUUUUCAAAACUCUUUUAUGUCUGGACUGUUGAGUCUUUCUCUAAAUGUAAAAGUUACUGACUUUAGGGAUCUGUUUUCAGAAAAGCUGCCCCAGCUCCCACUCCCCUUCAGGAGAAGAGAAAAUGAGAUGUAUAUUGCCUUAAGCUUGGACCACGCUAUAACAAACCUGCCAUGUCCAAGGAGAGAUCUUGGCAGAGGAAAAGACUAUAAAUCUUCACACAUACAUUUCUCCAAGAUGAAAUUGCAAGACCACCAAAGCCUGGAAAAAGAAAGUGAAACGAAGAUGACUGUUCCCUUUUUUCCUGCAACUGCCAUUAUUCAGAAUAUUAAAUAAGAAAUCUGACAGAUGGAAAUAUUUAGAUUGGAACCCAGAGAGAAGAUGCAAUAUUAUCAAAAUGGAUUCUACUCUACUUUCUAAAAGUCUCCAAUGCCUCUAUUAAAACAGCAACAGGCAGAGUUACUGUAAUGAAAAACAUUAUAUUUUACAUUUAUAUGGGACAGUGGAAACCAAAGUUUAAAACCACAAAUUACUUUAUAUACAAUAUUUUAAAAUUGGGGUUUGAAGUGUCCAGAUUUGAAGAAAUAUUGGAUAUUUUGAACAGAAUUUAUUAUCCAGGGGAAAGGAGACAUUGACAUACAGAUAGUUUUACUCUACUGAAAGAUCUCAUAAGAAAAAAAGUCAUUGUGGAGUAUAUAAUCAUCAGAUAUGGGUCAAAUAAUCAAAGAUAUAAAAUAUUGGGAAUUAAUUUUCUUUUAAACUAGAUCUUGCUAAAUUUCUUGCUCAGACUGACUUCAAAAUGCAAUCUCAUUAUUGAUGAUUUAUUUGUAAGCUGAAUAAAAAAAUAUUUCUGGAAAUUAAUUUUAUCA